Molecule: ribosomal RNA, 433 nt
Filed under: uncultured bacterium
Lineage: Bacteria
Description: partial 16S ribosomal RNA
Rfam family: Bacterial small subunit ribosomal RNA
Source: RNAcentral
AACGAACGCUGGCGGCAUGCCUAACACAUGCAAGUCGAACGAGACCUUCGGGUCUAGUGGCGCACGGGUGCGUAACGCGUGGGAACCUGCCCUUAGGUUCGGAAUAACUCCCCGAAAGGGGUGCUAAUACCGGAUAAUGUCUUCGGACCAAAGAUUUAUCGCGUUUGGAUGGGCCCGCGUUGGAUUAGCUAGUUGGUAGGGUAAAAGCCUACCAAGGCGACGAUCCAUAGCUGGUCUGAGAGGAUGAUCAGCCACACUGGGACUGAGACACGGCCCAGACUCCUACGGGAGGCAGCAGUGGGGAAUAUUGGACAAUGGGCGAAAGCCUGAUCCAGCAAUGCCGCGUGAGUGAUGAAGGCCUUAAGGUUGUAAAGCUCUUUUACCCGGGAUGAUAAUGACAGUACCGGGAGAAUAAGCUCCGGCUAACUCCGUG